RNAcentral lists this ribosomal RNA (253 nucleotides) under uncultured bacterium. RNAcentral's name for it is "partial 16S ribosomal RNA". It matches the Rfam family "Bacterial small subunit ribosomal RNA", at positions 524 to 776 of the family's 1533-position model. The record is from RNAcentral.
UACAGAGGUCCCAAGCGUUGUUCGGAUUCACUGGGCGUAAAGCGUGCGCAGGCGGUUUUGUAAGCCAGAUGUGAAAUCCCCGGGCUUAACCUGGGAAUGGCAUUUGGGACUGCAAGGCUGGAGUUUGGCAGAGGAGACUGGAAUUCCUGGUGUAGCAGUGAAAUGCGUAGAUAUCAGGAGGAAUACCGAUGGCGAAGGCAGGUCUCUGGGCCGAUACUGACGCUGAGGAGCGAAAGCGUGGGGAGCAAACAGG